Non-coding RNA from Pocillopora verrucosa, 264 nucleotides. The record is from RefSeq and is a predicted model, not a curated record. Lineage: Eukaryota; Metazoa; Cnidaria; Anthozoa; Scleractinia; Pocilloporidae.
CAGGACGAUUGCGUAGCCUCUUCACGUACCCCGGUUGUAAUUAUUUCGUUUAAAUCACCAUUCUGAGAGAAAUUAUUACAUAUCCAUCAUUUUCUGACUGCUCAUAUUGUGAUUUUUUGAAGGCAGGAAAUCUUAACAGGACUUUCUGACUUUAUCCCUGAUUCAAGGGUUAUUUUCUUGAACCCAGGAAACUCUAUACAAGACUUUCUGACUUUAUCCCUGAUUCAAGGGUUAUUUUCUCAAACCCAGGAAAUUCUAUACAAG